UAAGAAGUCACUAUGUAACGGUCCUUAUAACUGUUCUCUGCACACUUAGGGACAGCUCAGUGUUCCCUGCCAGACCUUCACAUGAUAGUGUGAGCUCCCAGGGUGGCUGAUCUCCUGAUGCACAGGAUCUGGCUCAACCCCAGAAGGCUCCUGGCUUCCAUAAGCAAUCAGGUCACAGAGAUCUUGCCUUACGGUCCUCUAGACCUGCCUGAAAUCCAGAGAUGAGUAAACUGAGGCAGAGGAAUGUGCAGUGACUCGCCCAUGCUCUCACACAAGGAGGAAGGGGCAGACCCAGA
This 296-nucleotide long non-coding RNA is filed under the name Mustela putorius furo (domestic ferret). RNAcentral describes it as "lncRNA (ENSMPUG00000031386.1)". The record is from RNAcentral. Lineage: Eukaryota; Metazoa; Chordata; Mammalia; Carnivora; Mustelidae.